GACGAACGCUGGCGGCGUGCUUAACACAUGCAAGUCGAACGGAAAGGCCCUGCUUGCAGGGUACUCGAGUGGCGAACGGGUGAGUAACACGUGGGUGAUCUGCCCUGCACUUCGGGAUAAGCCUGGGAAACUGGGUCUAAUACCGGAUAGGAGCCAUUUUUAGUGUGAUGGUUGGAAAGUUUUUUCGGUGUAGGAUGAGCUCGCGGCCUAUCAGCUUGUUGGUGGGGUAAUGGCCUACCAAGGCGGCGACGGGUAGCCGGCCUGAGAGGGUGGACGGCCACAUUGGGACUGAGAUACGGCCCAGACUCCUACGGGAGGCAGCAGUGGGGAAUAUUGCACAAUGGGCGCAAGCCUGAUGCAGCGACGCCGCGUGGGGGAUGAUGGCCUUCGGGUUGUAAACUCCUUUCGCUAGGGACGAAGCUUUUUGUGACGGUACCUAGAGAAGAAGCACCGGCUAACUACGUG
RNAcentral lists this ribosomal RNA (465 nucleotides) under uncultured bacterium. RNAcentral's name for it is "partial 16S ribosomal RNA". It matches the Rfam family "Bacterial small subunit ribosomal RNA", at positions 28 to 507 of the family's 1533-position model. The record is from RNAcentral.